This is a long non-coding RNA of Dendrobium catenatum, 315 nucleotides long. RefSeq lists it as uncharacterized. NCBI's taxonomy places the organism in Eukaryota, Viridiplantae, Streptophyta, Magnoliopsida, Asparagales, Orchidaceae. The transcript is spliced from 3 exons. The record is from RefSeq and is a predicted model, not a curated record.
AGGCUCUGUUUCUUCUCAGCAACGUUGUUUUGAAUGGCUCUGUUUCUUCUCAGCGGCGUUGUUUUCAAUGUCACUAUAACUGAUUAUCCACUUCAAGCCGUGGAGCUAUUGAGAGCAAAUAAAGGAAAUUACGACAUAGUGCUCAUUGAUGUUAAUUUGACAUGCAUGGAUGGAUUUGAGUUAGUAAAGAAUGUGAGUCGCGAAAUAAGUUUGCCUGUAAUUGGUAUGUUAAAGUUUUCUAAAAAAAAUAUUAAAUUAUUUUAUUUAUCAAUUAAUUUUUUUUAACAUGGUUAAAUUUUUAUGCAGUGUUGUCAA